RNAcentral lists this ribosomal RNA (301 nucleotides) under uncultured bacterium. RNAcentral's name for it is "partial 16S ribosomal RNA". It matches the Rfam family "Bacterial small subunit ribosomal RNA", at positions 509 to 807 of the family's 1533-position model. The record is from RNAcentral.
CAGCCGCCACGGGAAUACCGAGGAUGCAAGCGUUAUCCGGAAUGAUUGGGCGUAAAGCGUCUGUAGGUGGCUUUUCAAGUCCGCCGUCAAAUCCCAGGGCUCAACCCUGGACAGGCGGUGGAAACUACCAAGCUGGAGUACGGUAGGGGCAGAGGGAAUUUCCAGUGGAGCGGUGAAAUGCGUUGAGAUCGAAAAGAACACCAACAGCGAAAGCACUCUGCUGGGACGACACUGACACUAAGAGACGAAAGCUAGGGGAGCAAAUGGGAUUAGAUACCCGCGUAGUCCCUGUCUCUUAUAC